UACGGGGGGGGCAAGCGUUGUUCGGAAUUACUGGGCGUAAAGGGCUCGUAGGCGGCCAACUAAGUCAUACGUGAAAUCCCUCGGCUUAACCGGGGAACUGCGUCUGAUACUGGAUGGCUUGAGUUCGGGAGAGGGAUGCGGAAUUCCAGGUGUAGCGGUGAAAUGCGUAGAUAUCUGGAGGAACACCGGUGGCGAAGGCGGCUCACUGGCCCGAUACUGACGCUGAGGUGCGAAAGCGUGGGGAGCAAACAGG
RNAcentral lists this ribosomal RNA (253 nucleotides) under uncultured bacterium. Its description in RNAcentral is "partial 16S ribosomal RNA". It matches the Rfam family "Bacterial small subunit ribosomal RNA", at positions 524 to 776 of the family's 1533-position model. The record is from RNAcentral.